RNAcentral lists this ribosomal RNA (253 nucleotides) under uncultured bacterium. RNAcentral's name for it is "partial 16S ribosomal RNA". It matches the Rfam family "Bacterial small subunit ribosomal RNA", at positions 524 to 776 of the family's 1533-position model. The record is from RNAcentral.
UACGUAGGGGGCAAGCGUUAUCCGGAUUUACUGGGUGUAAAGGGAGCGUAGGCGGUGCAGCAAGUCAGAAGUGAAAGCCCGGGGCUCAAUUCCGGGACUGCUUUUGAAACUGUUGAACUAGAUUGCAGGAGAGGUAAGUGGAAUUCCUAGUGUAGCGGUGAAAUGCGUAGAUAUUAGGAGGAACACCAGUGGCGAAGGCGGCUUACUGGACUGUAAAUGACGCUGAGGCUCGAAAGCGUGGGGAGCAAACAGG